RNAcentral lists this long non-coding RNA (1692 nucleotides) under Homo sapiens (human). RNAcentral describes it as "HSALNT0249779". The record is from RNAcentral. Lineage: Eukaryota; Metazoa; Chordata; Mammalia; Primates; Hominidae.
UUGAAUUCCACCUCUUAAACCACAGGGAACAGAAAAGAGGUAUAAUGACAAAAAAUAGUUUUUUCUGUUACACAGUGAGAAAACUUAAGAUCCUUCUUAAUUGAGGUGGAGCCUGAAGAACAUUGAUAAGGGCAAAAAGAACAUUUAGGUCAGUGUAGAGUUCUGCAGUUGUCCUCUGGCCUCUUCUUCAGAGUGAGAACCUUGAAAAAGGAGGGGCAAUGGAAAUCCUGUAUGGGUUUGGAGAUCUGAACUCUGAGGAGAGACAAUAUUGCAGCCCGCCUGAAUGCCAGCAGAGGAGAGGGGCAAUGUAGAGAAGAGAAGGCAACUGAGGAGUUAAGUACCUUUUCCAAGGUCACAGGAAAGUGGCGAAUGAGAGUCCUGUGAUUCCAGUCUAGGUCAUCUGAAUCUAGAUCCUGUGUUCUUGACCACUACAUGAAAUUACUGACUGGCAACCAGAUCAUAGAAUUCUCUUAUUCCUACUCCAAGGAGCCUUUUCCCAAGCCUAUUUCACACUGUAGGCAUGGAUCACCCACUUCAGAAACAGUUCUAACGACUAUAAGUCUCAAAGACAGAAGUUGCAAGCUACUGAUGUGCUGCAUAAAAAUACUCACAGGCUUGCCUGAGGAGCAGCUUUUUCUACUCCCUGAAAGAUGUGUAACUGUGGAAGAGAGAGAAGAAGGCUGAGAGAACAAGCAGAUGGGAGGAAGGAACUGAGAUACCUCAAUCCUUGGGGAAGAAAACAGAACCUUCCUUUGCAAGUACCAGGGAAGUGUAGACCGUGACACAAUGUGAAGAGUCUUCUUGUUGCUGGUCAGAGAGUUUUACCAACUACCGGCUUAGUGCCCCAAAUCAUCUGCCUCCAUCCGACUGGUUCCCACAGACAAUUCACUAACUGAUGGUUCUGGAAACGGGUAGGGAAAUUAGAUGUCCAGUGAGGAGAUGAUGGCUGGAGGAGAAUUUGGGUGGAGACAGCAACUAAUAUACCUCUUCUGUUACAGAGGCAUAGAAACAAAGGAGAGGAAAUACAGCAACAUGUCAACCAUGCUCAUAUUUAGGUGGUGAUUAUAGGUGACUUUUAUUUCCUUCUUAAAACUGAAUUGUAUUUUCAAAGUUUUCUAUGAUGUAUGACAUAUAUAAUCAGAAGAUGGUUGAAAUAAAGAACAUCUUCAUUGGAAUAUGUGCCUGAUAUAUGGCAACUCCAUUUUCAUGCUGGGUUUGGCCAAGAGAGCACCCACAGCUGUGCCAAGAGUUCUCUUUGAAAGUCCAUCUGGGUUCAGCCCAAUUAAUAAAUAAACUCAAAGGCCCAGGGUUCUUCAUUGUGAUGCACAGGCAUAAUGAUUUUAGCUUGAUCACCCAAGGGCAUAGUCCAGAAAGAGAACAGUCUGAAGACUACUAGCUUCAAGACAGGAUGAAAUUAAAAAUGUUUGUCUAUGUGGUACUCUGCACUGCUGGCAUAAAUUUUGGUCUACAAUCUCCUCUGAGUGACUUCCUCCAGAGAAGUUAUCUCAAUUGCACUUAUACUUAUUUGUAUGACUAAUGCCUGCCUACUUCAGUAAACUAUAAACUCCACGGGAAUAGAAUCUCCAAUAUUUUAUUUCUUACCAUUGAAAAUCCAAUCCAGAGGCUAUAUUUGUGUGUGUAUAUAUAUAUAUAUAUACACACACAUAUGUAUAUAUUUUUGCAUACACGCUG